GCUUACCUUGGCGCCCUUGUGCAGCAGCGCCUCCGCCGAGGCUCUGCCGAUGCCCUGCGCCGCGCCGGUCACCAGCGCCACUUUGCCGUUCACGUGCAUGGCGCUGCCGCUGCUCCGGGCGGUGGGCGAGCUCCGUGUCCCGGCCUCGGCGCCGCGCAGCCUUUAUAGCCCCCGCCGCGCGCUGUCCUGCGAGUGGGCGGGGAGGAGCCUGUCCGGCCCGCGCCGGAGCCCACGGCCGUGUCACCUGGCCCCGAGCGCUCCGAGGCGCCCAGCGUCGCGAUCUUUGCCUCCCGGACGCGGAGCCCGGGUCAGAGCCCCUCCUCGGCCUCCCACGGAGGGGCCCCCCGGCCGGGCGCUGACACGGACAAACAGCAAGGUUAUUUCCCCCAAAAGAUGACCCUCGGGGCGCUGAAGACCACCCGGAGAAGAGCAGCACAGGGGAGGGGCUCGGGAGCUUGGUUUCCUCCUCCUCCUCCUCCUCCUCCUCCUCCUCCUCCUCCUCCUCCCUUCAGGUCCUCCCCUCUUCGAUCCCCCCCCCCCCCCCAAAAAAAAAGAAUAAAAACCAAGCAAACAGCAAAAUUUUAGGGAUGGUACUCCUUGUCUCAAUCUAAGUUUAUGUCUGAAUUCCCAUGUCAUGACCACUGUGGUGUCAACUGGGCUCCCCCGAACAGUAAGCAUUUACUUGCACAGGACUUGCAGAGUCGCUGUGAGCCUGGUAAACAGUUGGUUCAAUGGAAUGCUUACUCAUCGACUCAUACUCGCCUUGGAGGCUCUGGGUAUGGGAAAGAGGUUCUCUGUCCUCCAGGAACUUGAGUAUAAGCUGUGUAUCCAAGAUGCAUUCAGCCACGGCUAUUCUUCUGACCUAAUCACUUUUUUUUUUUCUUGUUAUCACCUGCAGGCUUCAAUUUUAACGCUUGUAAGCUUAAUACCUGGUUGGCACCUAUUAGGAACAAAGAAGCCUAAGCAUUUCAGGAGAUGAAAGUCAGGCAACAGGCUUAAAUGAACUGCAGAAUGAAUCCUUUGUGUACUUCUUUGCUGCUUACAGGAGAUAAGGGGGAAGGUGACUGGGUCAGCAGUGAAGGCGUGGGGGGAGCAGGGAGGGUGCUGUGUAAAAUACAGGCUGUCACUAAGCCAGCUAAGAAACACUUCCAAGUUGAUUUGAAAUUGGGUCUUCAAAAAAUGUUGAGAAAUUAAGACAGAGUAAGUUGAGAGAUGUACUGAAAAAGAACACCAGAGGACAUCUUUAAAAAGGAAACAAAAACCCAAUACCUCUAGUGGCAUGGACAGUACAUAGAAGAAAAAAAGGAAAGAGCUCUUCAGCAGGAAGGAACUAGCGGGGGAGGAACCACUAGAGCCACAUUGGACCAUGUUGGGACAGCAAAGUGUCGCCACAAAGAUGGGGAAAAUAGCUUCAAGAAGAAAGGUGGAGUUAAUUGACAAACUAAGGAGCACAAGGGAAGGACAGAUGGAGAAAUGCUUUGAAUUUUUAAGAAAAGAAUUAGUGUGAGUACGUUCACAAGGCAUAGAAACCAAAUUGAAAUUUAAGGAGAAGACGGCUGGUGAGAAGAUGGGGAUCGCAGGAGCUCAAGACAUCACAUGGGAAGAAAUAGAUUGGACAGUAGUCAGAAACAUUAGAGGAAAAACCAAGUUUUCCUUUAAGGAAGGACAGAAAUACAGAUUCAAUGUAAAAGGCCAGUGUCCACUAGAGUGAGAGGCACUGGAAGCAGUCUGGAGGGGCGUGGGGUGAGAUAUCAGAGCUUCAGCUUCAGAUUCAGACAAAAUAGGUCUGGAUCCUGCCUCUGUUUCUGACCAGCACUGUGACCUGGGACAAGUUGCUUCAACUCUCUGUGCCUCAGACUUCUUAGUAGUAAAGAAGCAGUUCCUAUGAGAAUUUGGUGAAAAUUAAAUUAGGAAAUACGUGUAAAGCACAGUGCCUGGCACAGAGCCAUACAAUAAAUAUCUGUUCUAAGUAAUUACUUCGGGAUUAUUAAUAAAUAAUACCUGAGAGAUAGAAAAGAAAAUGUGACAGUUUUUGUUUAUUUGGGUUAUUUACUUAUUUCUAAUACACAGGAAGGACUGGGAUCUAGGGCAGUUGAGACCCUUCUUCUCAGCUUUCAUUGUUAGUGUCUUUAUUCAGACCCUUGACUUUCUCCUGUGAUAACGAUAGCAGUUAACAUCCUGAAUUACUUUGCCCACAAAUUUCCUAAAUCCAUUUCAGCUUCCACAUUCCUCUCAGUAAAAGUUCUAAACUGUAGAUCUCAUCAUGUUUGGACAUUUCAAAAUCCGUAAACUAUCUGAACUCUAGGGCACUGCAUAGGAGGAGGGCACCACAUUCCAUGCCCCUGCCUAUCCCCUGGCCCCUCUAUUUAAAGUCUAGAAAGCAGAAUCACUUAAAACCUAACCCCAUUCCCCAAGCUCAGGCCUUUGCCAUCUUCUAUCUGCUCACCUGAGGAUACGUCCCCUCCUACUUUCUUCACUUGUCUUCCAACUCAGCUAUGAAAAUUUUACAGUGACAACACCCAUCACAUUAUUCUAAUGAUCUUACUAUCUCUGUGUGUCCAGCUCUCCUUGAAGAGAGAGCUGGGUUUUUGUUUUUGUUUUUUUUUCUAGAAAUCUCCAGCAUCCAGCACAGGGCCACCCAAAGUGUGUGCUCGUACAUAUUGAACAACGAACAGUACAAAUAAACAUGAGAUACGUGUCUGAGAGAAGACAGAAAAUUUGAAAGAGAUGAUAUGAAGACUUAGUUCAAAAUGGAAAAAGAGUAAUGAUAAGGGUAGAGUUCCAGCUCCAGAAUACAGGAGAACACUAUUUGAAUUAGAAAGAACAAAGCAGAGACACCUGGGUGGCUCAGUGGUUGAAUAUCUGCCUUUGGGUCAGGGCGUGAUCCCCAGGCCCUGGGAUUGAGUUCUGCAUAAGGC
Molecule: long non-coding RNA, 2918 nt
Organism: Canis lupus familiaris (dog)
Lineage: Eukaryota; Metazoa; Chordata; Mammalia; Carnivora; Canidae
Exons: 3
Source: RefSeq, a predicted model, not a curated record